This 468-nucleotide ribosomal RNA is filed under the name uncultured bacterium. RNAcentral describes it as "SSU rRNA". It matches the Rfam family "Bacterial small subunit ribosomal RNA", at positions 26 to 518 of the family's 1533-position model. The record is from RNAcentral.
AGAACGAACGCUGGCGGCAUGCCUAACACAUGCAAGUCGAACGCUCUCUUCGGAGGGAGUGGCGCACGGGUGAGUAACGCGUGGGAACCUGCCUUGGAGUGGGGGAUAACCGAUGGAAACGUCGGCUAAUACCGCAUACGUCCUGAGGGAGAAAGAUUUAUCGCUCUGAGAGGGGCCCGCGUCGGAUUAGCUAGUUGGUGGGGUAACGGCUCACCAAGGCGACAAUCCGUAGCUGGUCUGAGAGGACGACCAGCCACACUGGGACUGAGACACGGCCCAGACUCCUACGGGAGGCAGCAGUGGGGAAUAUUGGACAAUGGGGGCAACCCUGAUCCAGCGACGCCGCGUGUGUGAAGAAGGCCUGCGGGUUGUAAAGCACUUUUAGUGGGACAAAAAGCUACGGGCUAAUACCUUGUAGUCUUGAUUUAACCAAAGAAAAGCACCGGCUAACUCUGCGCCAGCAGCCGC